RNAcentral lists this ribosomal RNA (279 nucleotides) under uncultured bacterium. RNAcentral's name for it is "partial 16S ribosomal RNA". It matches the Rfam family "Bacterial small subunit ribosomal RNA", at positions 506 to 784 of the family's 1533-position model. The record is from RNAcentral.
UGCCAGCAGCCGCGGUAAUACGGAGGGGGUUAGCGUUGUUCGGAAUUACUGGGCGUAAAGCGCACGUAGGCGGAUUAGUAAGUUAGGGGUGAAAUCCCGGGGCUCAACCCCGGAACUGCCUCUAAUACUGCUAGCCUUGAGUUCGAGAGAGGUGAGUGGAAUUCCGAGUGUAGAGGUGAAAUUCGUAGACAUUCGGAAGAACACCAGUGGCGAAGGCGACUGUCUGGCACAUUUCUGACGCUGAGGUGCGAAAGCGUGGGGAGCAAACAGGAUUAGAUA